RNAcentral lists this long non-coding RNA (2135 nucleotides) under Homo sapiens (human). RNAcentral describes it as "HSALNT0153290". The record is from RNAcentral. Lineage: Eukaryota; Metazoa; Chordata; Mammalia; Primates; Hominidae.
CAAAAUCUUCAUUUUUCAUAAGAUUCUACAAUGAUUUAUAAUGAACAUUUAGGCUUGAGAACCCUGCUGUAAAAACCCAAACAUGAUGUGUCAGAGUUGUAGAUGUUAAUUUCUGUCAAAUCCGUUUGCUAAUCUUAACUAUUUGCAUAAUCCAUUUAAUAAUAUCCUUUUAUUAUCUUAGAAUCUUUAGGAGAGUGCUAUUAAAUUAUCUUGGCCUAGUCUCAUAAGGACAGAAGAAAAUUAAGCUAUGCAUGUUCAACUGCUUUGGGUCAGAGUGACAAAACUGAGAUAAAUGUUAUUAGAAACCACUAUGGUAAGAAACAGGAGCUUUAAUAGUCGGUGUUAACUGCCAAAACUGCAGGAGUUAAUGAGAUGCUGCAUGGUCAGGACCCAUAGCUAUAUAGAAUAGAAAGCAUCUUAAGAUCAAAGGUAGUUGCACAGACAGAGAUCUGCAUUGACUUGAUACUGUGCUGUAUUAAUCUUGAUAUCUUUGUUCCUUGCACACUGCCAUAGUGCCUGUUGUUGGGACUGGAUAAAUGUUUGUUGAAUUAAGCUGAAAUAUGGUGACUAAAAGCUCUUGACAUGAUAUAUUAUUUCAUAUUUUAUUCAUUUUAUUCUUUAGUGGAAUUAUAUUAAAUCUACAUGUCUGAGUCUUUUACAAAUUGAUUUUUAUUCAACUCUCUGAAGGUUUACACAAUAAGCCUAUGUUCUUAUAAUAAAGCAGCCCUAAAAUAUUACAUUAUUUAUUAUGAUAGAACAAGCUCAAUUGUCCAACAUCUUAUUUCUUCUACAUGUUAACUCCACUUACGUGUUUAAAAUAUCUAACCACUAGGUGUCGUUUAUCCGGAUGCUGCAUGAUUAAGACCACCAUACUCUUAUCAAGCAUACAGGUGUUAAUGUCUAUUUUAAAGAGGAGAGAACUCAAGAAGUUCUGUAGAAACUGCUUUCUUCAUCAUAUCUCAAAGGAUUUGCUGAGGAUUUCAGAGGUGCCACGAGUUGAGAGAAGUGAGCCAAAAAAACUCAUCUGAAGUGUUUGGACAGAUGAAAUCAAUGGCUGCUGAUUAAAUGAGAGGCACACAGACUUCGGACAUUUCACUUAAUGCUGAAAAUUCACUCUACUGCCACUACUCAGGACUUCUGAUGGGCAUGAAAAUCCAAGCCUGCUUUAUGAUAUUAACCUCUGAAUUUCAUAAACCGCUUAAAACUUUAGAAUGUCCAGAAAACACUGGUAGAAUACGGACACAUGAGACAAGGCCAGAAAGGAAGUCAAUAAAAUGUGAUUACUAAGCAAAUUACCACCAGAGAAGCAGAAGGAAAUCCCUCUUCAAUAUUUUGAGAGACAGUAAAGAACAUUCCCUGGAGUUAGGACAAAUGAAGAGCAAGAAGUUUCAUCUUGCUCUGUCAUCCAGGCUGGAGUGCAGGGGCACCAUCUCGGCUCACUGAAACCUCCACUUCCCGGGUUCAAGCGAUUCUCCUGCCUCAGCCUCCUGAGUAACUGGGGUUACAGAGUGAAUAGACAACCUACAGAAUGGGAGAAAAUACUUGCAAGCUAUGUAUCCAACAAAGGACUAAUAUCGAGAAUUUACAAGGAACUCAAACAAAACUCAACAAGAGUAAAACAACCCCAAUAAAAAGUGAGUAAAAGACAUGGAGAGAGAUUUUUCGAAAGAAGACAUACAAAUGGCAAUCAAAAGGCAAAGAGGCAUAUGAAAAAAUGUUCACCAUCACUAAUCACCAGAGAAAUGCAAAUUAAGUGUAAUGAGAUACAACCUUACAUCUGACAAAGUGGUUAUUACUCAAAAAAAAAAAACAAAAAAAACAAAACAAAAAAAACAGAUAUUGGCAAGAAUGCAGAAAAAUGGGAAAACUUUUACACUGUUGGUGGUAAUGUAAAUUAGUAUAAACCUUAUGAAAAACAGUAUGGAGAUUUCUCAAAGAAUUUAAAGUAGAACCAGCAUUUGAUCCAACAAUCCUACCACUGGAUAUCUAUCCAAAGGGAAAGAAAUUAUUAUAUCAAAAAGAUAUUUGCAUUUGUAUAUUUAUCACAGCACUAUUCACAGUAACAAACAUAUGGAAUCAACCUAAGUGUCCACCAACAGAUGAUUGGAUAAAGAAAAUAUUAUAUAUAAUAUAUA